AAGUCGUAACAAGGUUUCCGUAGGUGAACCUGCGGAAGGAUCAUUAUCAAGAACGUGCUAGCCUUGAUUGGCAGUGGUUAUGUUCAACCCUUUGUGAACCAAAAAAAACCUUUAGCUUCGGUAGCUGGGUUGCGGAAACGCUGCCUGUCAGUCUGCCGUUAGCACCUUUACAUAAACUUGCUUUAGAAAAUAUUGUCUGAAUCAAAAAUUUCGAAUGAAAUUAAAACUUUCAACAACGGAUCUCUUGGUUCUC
This 253-nucleotide unclassified non-coding RNA is filed under the name fungal sp. RNAcentral's name for it is "partial internal transcribed spacer region". The stretch from base 1 to 46 matches the Rfam family "Eukaryotic small subunit ribosomal RNA", at positions 1786 to 1831 of the family's 1831-position model. The record is from RNAcentral. Lineage: Eukaryota; Fungi.